RNAcentral lists this ribosomal RNA (400 nucleotides) under uncultured bacterium. RNAcentral's name for it is "bacterial SSU rRNA". It matches the Rfam family "Bacterial small subunit ribosomal RNA", at positions 356 to 773 of the family's 1533-position model. The record is from RNAcentral.
AGGGAAUAUUGGACAAUGGGCGAAAGCCUGAUCCAGCAAUGCCGCGUGAGCGAUGAAGGCCUUAGGGUUGUAAAGCUCUUUUACCCGAGAUGAUAAUGACAGUAUCGGGAGAAUAAGCCCCGGCUAACUCCGUGCCAGCAGCCGCGGUAAUACGGAGGGGGCUAGCGUUGUUCGGAAUUACUGGGCGUAAAGCGCACGUAGGCGGCUAUCUAAGUCAGAGGUGAAAGCCCGGGGCUCAACCCCGGAACUGCCUUUGAGACUGGAUAGCUAGAAUCUUGGAGAGGCGGGUGGAAUUCCGAGUGUAGAGGUGAAAUUCGUAGAUAUUCGGAAGAACACCAGUGGCGAAGGCGGCCCGCUGGACAAGUAUUGACGCUGAGGUGCGAAAGCGUGGGGAGCAAAC